RNAcentral lists this ribosomal RNA (809 nucleotides) under Micrococcus sp. RNAcentral describes it as "bacterial SSU rRNA". It matches the Rfam family "Bacterial small subunit ribosomal RNA", at positions 73 to 894 of the family's 1533-position model. Lineage: Bacteria; Bacillati; Actinomycetota; Actinomycetes; Micrococcales; Micrococcaceae. The record is from RNAcentral.
GCCCAGCUUGCUGGGUGGAUUAGUGGCGAACGGGUGAGUAACACGUGAGUAACCUGCCCUUAACUCUGGGAUAAGCCUGGGAAACUGGGUCUAAUACCGGAUAGGAGCGCCUACCGCAUGGUGGGUGUUGGAAAGAUUUAUCGGUUUUGGAUGGACUCGCGGCCUAUCAGCUUGUUGGUGAGGUAAUGGCUCACCAAGGCGACGACGGGUAGCCGGCCUGAGAGGGUGACCGGCCACACUGGGACUGAGACACGGCCCAGACUCCUACGGGAGGCAGCAGUGGGGAAUAUUGCACAAUGGGCGAAAGCCUGAUGCAGCGACGCCGCGUGAGGGAUGACGGCCUUCGGGUUGUAAACCUCUUUCAGUAGGGAAGAAGCGAAAGUGACGGUACCUGCAGAAGAAGCACCGGCUAACUACGUGCCAGCAGCCGCGGUAAUACGUAGGGUGCGAGCGUUAUCCGGAAUUAUUGGGCGUAAAGAGCUCGUAGGCGGUUUGUCGCGUCUGUCGUGAAAGUCCGGGGCUUAACCCCGGAUCUGCGGUGGGUACGGGCAGACUAGAGUGCAGUAGGGGAGACUGGAAUUCCUGGUGUAGCGGUGGAAUGCGCAGAUAUCAGGAGGAACACCGAUGGCGAAGGCAGGUCUCUGGGCUGUAACUGACGCUGAGGAGCGAAAGCAUGGGGAGCGAACAGGAUUAGAUACCCUGGUAGUCCAUGCCGUAAACGUUGGGCACUAGGUGUGGGGACCAUUCCACGGUUUCCGCGCCGCAGCUAACGCAUUAAGUGCCCCGCCUGGGGAGUACGGCCGCAAGGC